GGGGUUGUGGCUCAGUGGCAGAGUGAUCACUUAGCACAAGUGAGGCACUGGGUUCGAUCCUCAGCACCACA
This 71-nucleotide transfer RNA is filed under the name Marmota monax (woodchuck). RNAcentral's name for it is "tRNA.Undet". The record is from RNAcentral. Lineage: Eukaryota; Metazoa; Chordata; Mammalia; Rodentia; Sciuridae.